Molecule: non-coding RNA, 74 nt
Organism: Cordylochernes scorpioides
Lineage: Eukaryota; Metazoa; Arthropoda; Arachnida; Pseudoscorpiones; Chernetidae
Source: the annotation of a GenBank genome assembly
UGUCCAGGGGCGGGAAUCGAACCCACAACGUUCCGCUUACCGGGCAGAUGCCAUGUCCACUAGGCUACCCUGGG